RNAcentral lists this long non-coding RNA (740 nucleotides) under Phoenix dactylifera (date palm). Its description in RNAcentral is "long non-coding RNA (PDAC_LNC018159)". The record is from RNAcentral. Lineage: Eukaryota; Viridiplantae; Streptophyta; Magnoliopsida; Arecales; Arecaceae.
CAGACAGGUGCACCCCCUGCGCGAGCUCCGCGCCAGCAGGGCAUCCCCAAAGCAGACAAUACCUCGGGAGGGACGCAGUCGCUUUCGCUGCUCGGAUCGGUGGGGGGCUAUGCUGGUGACGAGGUGCAAAUCCCGCAUCAGUAUUCAAAUAUUGGAUUACUAUGGACCAAUCCGAGUUUUUCCCAAUAAAAUUCUUCAUUGUUACAAUAUGCAUGCGCUUACCUAUGCAACUAUAACGACAAAUUAAGGUCUAAUGUUCAGAAUCAACUCUUACCAGGUAAUACAAAUGCCUCAUAGUUACCCUUUUUAUCGUCAUAUCCUGAUUAAAUUGGUAAGAACUUACUCAACCAAUAGAGUAGUACAAGCAAAAAGAAGUAGAAAGGAUAGUAAGCUUAUGGAACCAAAGUCCUACUAACAACUACGAUACAAUGCAGCAACACUGCAUUUAUUUUUAAGGAUUAAAAGGCAUUUAUUAAAUCAGUAUUGCAAGGCAAUAGGAAGGAUAAGAAGCAUAUCAAACCACAGCAGACUAGCAGUAUAUAUGUAUAGAUGAAAAAAAUAUACCAACUGAUAAAGUACAAAGGGCACCUGACACAGUGCAGGAUGACCUUGAGCCUCUCUUCAAUUUAGAAGGGCAUCAGUAGCAAGAAAAUCGAUCCUUCAACCAUCAUACUUUCCUCCUCCAUAACAUGUUAUAAGAGUUAACACGAUGUCACUAACACAUUUGCAACAUGACAAGG